GCGCUUCUAGCUCAACGGUAGAGCACCGGACUUUUAAUCCGUAGGUUCUGGGUUCGAAUCCCAGGGGGCGCAC
RNAcentral lists this transfer RNA (73 nucleotides) under Candidatus Saccharimonadota bacterium. Its description in RNAcentral is "Candidatus Saccharibacteria bacterium tRNA-Lys". It matches the Rfam family "tRNA". Rfam says of the family: Transfer RNA (tRNA) molecules are approximately 80 nucleotides in length. Their secondary structure includes four short double-helical elements and three loops (D, anti-codon, and T loops). The record is from RNAcentral. Lineage: Bacteria; Candidatus Saccharimonadota.